GCAAGCGUUAUCCGGAAUUAUUGGGCGUAAAGGGCUCGUAGGCGGUUCGUCGCGUCCGGUGUGAAAGUCCAUCGCUUAACGGUGGAUCCGCGCCGGGUACGGGCGGGCUUGAGUGCGGUAGGGGAGACUGGAAUUCCCGGUGUAACGGUGGAAUGUGUAGAUAUCGGGAAGAACACCAAUGGCGAAGGCAGGUCUCUGGGCCGUUACUGACGCUGAGGAGCGAAAGCGUGGGGAGCGAACAGGAUUAGAUACCCUGGUAGUCCACGCCGUAAACGGUGGAUGCUGGAUGUGGGGCCCGUUCCACGGGUUCCGUGUCGGAGCUAACGCGUUAAGCAUCCCGCCUGGGGAGUACGGCCGCAAGGCUAAAACUCAAAGAAAUUGACGGGGGCCCGCACAAGCGGCGGAGCAUGCGGAUUAAUUCGAUGCAACGCGAAGAACCUUACCUGGGCUUGACAUGUUCCCGACGGUCGUAGAGAUACGGCUUCCCUUCGGGGCGGGUUCACAGGUGGUGCAUGGUCGUCGUCAGCUCGUGUCGUGAGAUGUUGGGUUAAGUCCCGCAACGAGCGCAACCCUCGCCCCGUGUUGCCAGCGGAUUAUGCCGGGAACUCACGGGGGACCGCCGGGGUUAACUCGGAGGAAGGUGGGGAUGACGUCAGAUCAUCAUGCCCCUUACGUCCAGGGCUUCACGCAUGCUACAAUGGCCGGUACAACGGGAUGCGACGCGGCGACGCGGAGCGGAUCCCUGAAAACCGGUCUCAGUUCGGAUCGCAGUCUGCAACUCGACUGCGUGAAGGCGGAGUCGCUAGUAAUCGCGAAUCAGCAACGUCGCGGUGAAUGCGUUCCCGGGCCUUGUACACACCGCCCGUCAAGUCAUGAAAGUGGGCAGCACCCGAAGCCGGUGGCCUAACCCGUUGUGGGAUGGAGCCGUCUAAGGUGAGGCUCGUGAUUGGGACUAAGUCGUAACAAGGUAGCCGUACCGGAAGGUGCGGCUG
This 992-nucleotide ribosomal RNA is filed under the name gut metagenome. Its description in RNAcentral is "bacterial SSU rRNA". It matches the Rfam family "Bacterial small subunit ribosomal RNA", at positions 534 to 1520 of the family's 1533-position model. The record is from RNAcentral.